RNAcentral lists this ribosomal RNA (474 nucleotides) under uncultured bacterium. Its description in RNAcentral is "bacterial SSU rRNA". It matches the Rfam family "Bacterial small subunit ribosomal RNA", at positions 21 to 507 of the family's 1533-position model. The record is from RNAcentral.
GGCUCAGGAUGAACGCUAGCGGCAGGCUUAAUACAUGCAAGUCGAGGGCCUAGCAAUAGGACCGGCGCACGGGUGCGUAACACGUAUGCAACCUGCCUGUAUCUGGGGAUAGCCCGAGGAAACUCGGAUUAAUACCGCAUACCACUGAGGAUUGGCAUCAAUUUUCAGUGAAAGAUUUAUCGGAUACAGAUGGGCAUGCGCAGGAUUAGCUAGUUGGUGUGGUAACGGCACACCAAGGCGACGAUCCUUAGGGGCUCUGAGAGGAGUAACCCCCACACUGGCACUGAGAUACGGGCCAGACUCCUACGGGAGGCAGCAGUAGGGAAUAUUGGGCAAUGGAUGCAAGUCUGACCCAGCCAUGCCGCGUGCAGGAAGAAGGUCCUCUGGAUUGUAAACUGCUUUUAUCGGGGAAGAAUAGUUUUCUUGCGAGGGAAUGUGACGGUACCCGAUGAAUAAGCCACGGCUAACUACGUG